GGGAACAUACCCUUUUCUACGGAAUAGCUCUGGGAAACUGGAAUUAAUACCGCAUACGCCCUACGGGGGAAAGAUUUAUCGGGGUAUGAUGAGCCCGCGUUGGAUUAGCUAGUUGGUGGGGUAAAGGCCUACCAAGGCGACGAUCCAUAGCUGGUCUGAGAGGAUGAUCAGCCACAUUGGGACUGAGACACGGCCCAAACUCCUACGGGAGGCAGCAGUGGGGAAUAUUGGACAAUGGGCGCAAGCCUGAUCCAGCCAUGCCGCGUGAGUGAUGAAGGCCUUAGGGUUGUAAAGCUCUUUCACCGGAGAAGAUAAUGACGGUAUCCGGAGAAGAAGCCCCGGCUAACUUCGUGCCAGCAGCCGCGGUAAUACGAAGGGGGCUAGCGUUGUUCGGAAUUACUGGGCGUAAAGCGCACGUAGGCGGAUAUUUAAGUCAGGGGUGAAAUCCCAGAGCUCAACUCUGGAACUGCCUUUGAUACUGGGUAUCUUGAGUAUGGAAGAGGUAAGUGGAAUUGCGAGU
This 520-nucleotide ribosomal RNA is filed under the name uncultured bacterium. RNAcentral's name for it is "bacterial SSU rRNA". It matches the Rfam family "Bacterial small subunit ribosomal RNA", at positions 120 to 674 of the family's 1533-position model. The record is from RNAcentral.